GAGUAUCUCCCAGGCCAAGGUACAAGAUAAAAUCCCAGAAGAGGAAAUGUGAUGAGGAGAUAGGCAGUGGAUCUGAGAAAGAGUUUGAAAUAAUGAUGGCCAAGGUGUUCAGAGAACUCAAGAGGAGCAUAGAAGCACAGAGUGAAGUUUUUAGCAGAGAGCUGGAAAAUAUAAAGAAUACCCAGACACUGGGGGCAAGGGAUAGCUCAAGUGGUAGAG
Vicugna pacos (alpaca) is the source of this 219-nucleotide non-coding RNA. The record is from RefSeq and is a predicted model, not a curated record. NCBI's taxonomy places the organism in Eukaryota, Metazoa, Chordata, Mammalia, Artiodactyla, Camelidae.